AGCUGUUGCUGUCUGGUGAGCAAGAAGCAGGAGAUGAGAUUUCUGAUGUGGCCUUCAGGAACACCCCACGCACCCCAGCCAAGCGUCUCCACCAGAUAAGAAAGCGCCCAAGACGCAGCAAAGAAGACAUGUUCUGGGAGGUCCUGAAGUGCU
Molecule: long non-coding RNA, 153 nt
Organism: Dermochelys coriacea (leatherback sea turtle)
Lineage: Eukaryota; Metazoa; Chordata; Testudines; Dermochelyidae
Exons: 2
Source: RefSeq, a predicted model, not a curated record